AGGGUAAAAGCCAGACCUAGUGCAUUAUGGUACAGUAAAAAUAGCAGAAGGAGCUGGCUGGAAUGAUCUUGAAGAAGAAAUGAAGCACUCGGUGGCUCUGCCCUUCUGCGUCCCUCGGAAACGGCAGCCGGCUUUAUUUGCGCGCCGGUUUCGUUGUUGAUUUGUUGCCGCUAUACAAUAUUCGGUUAAUUGUGGACGGGCUCAAGCUGUGCUCAUCCCUGCGAAGGCUGCCGCGGCUGCACGGUGCUCACAGGAGCAGGCUCGUUUCUCCGGGACCCGCCAGCUCCACAGCCUGGCACCAGCAGGCGACGGGACGCGGCGCUCGGGAGGUGAGCAGGCGGCGUCGCGGGCUCAGCUGGGACCAGGUAAAGUGUUGGGGGGACAACUUGCUGUGG
This 395-nucleotide long non-coding RNA is filed under the name Homo sapiens (human). Its description in RNAcentral is "HSALNT0375276". Lineage: Eukaryota; Metazoa; Chordata; Mammalia; Primates; Hominidae. The record is from RNAcentral.